RNAcentral lists this ribosomal RNA (1619 nucleotides) under metagenome. RNAcentral's name for it is "bacterial LSU rRNA". It matches the Rfam family "Bacterial large subunit ribosomal RNA", at positions 1280 to 2925 of the family's 2925-position model. The record is from RNAcentral.
UCAUUGAAGAGAGAAUGCCGGAAUGAGUAGCGAGAAAUAGGUGAGAAUCCUAUUGGCCGAAUAUCCAAGGAUUCCAGGGUAAAGCUGAUCUGCCCUGGGUAAGUCGGGGCCUAAGGCGAGGUCGGAAGACGUAGCCGAUGGACAACAGGUGGAGAUUCCUGUACUGCAUAUGGUCAGAACUGUGGGGACACGGGGUGUUAACGGAAGCCGGGAAAGGAAAGACCGGCCCAAGCACAGGAGGCGUUGCGCAGGCAAAUCCGCGCAAUAAGCCAGAGGUGUGACGGGGAGCGAAAUAAAAGUAGCGAAGUCCGGAUACAUGCUGUCAAGAAAAGCCGCUAUUGCGCCAUAUGUACCCGUACCGUAAACCGACACAGGUGGAUGAGGAGAGAAUCCUAAGGCCGGCGGGAGAAGUGUUGUUAAGGAACUCGGCAAAAUGGCCCCGUAACUUCGGGAGAAGGGGCGCCCAGAAAUGGGCCGCAGAGAAAAGGCUCAAGCAACUGUUUAGCAAAAACACAGGUCUAUGCGAAACCGAAAGGUGAGGUAUAUGGGCUGACGCCUGCCCGGUGCUGGAAGGUUAAGGGGAGAGGUUAGCCGCAAGGCGAAGCUUUGAACUUAAGCCCCAGUAAACGGCGGCCGUAACGAUAACGGUCCUAAGGUAGCGAAAUUCCUUGUCGGGUAAGUUCCGACCCGCACGAAAGGCGUAAUGAUUUGAGCACUGUCUCGACAACCACCCGGUGAAAUUGAAAUACCAGUGAAGAUGCUGGUUACCUGCGCCAGGACGGAAAGACCCCAUGGAGCUUUACUCUAGUUUGAUACUGGGACCCGGUAUGACAUGUACAGGAUAGGUGGGAGGCAGAGAAUUAAUGACGCCAGUCAUUAAGGAGCCGGUGUUGGGAUACCACCCUUGUGAUGCCAGGUUUCUAACGGGCUGCCGUGAACCGGCAGGCGGACAAUGUCAGGCGGGGAGUUUGACUGGGGCGGUCGCCUCCGAAAGGGUAUCGGAGGCGCUCAAAGGUUCCCUCAGAAUGGUUGGAAACCAUUCGGAGAGUGCAAAGGCAGAAGGGAGCCUGACUGCGACACCGACGGGUGGAGCAGGUACGAAAGUAGGACUUAGUGAUCCGGUGGUAUAAAGUGGGAUUGCCAUCGCUCAACGGAUAAAAGCUACCCUGGGAUAACAGGCUUAUCACUCCCAAGAGUUCACAUCGACGGAGUGGUUUGGCACCUCGAUGUCGGCUCAUCGCAUCCUGGGGCUGGAGUAGGUCCCAAGGGUUGGGCUGUUCGCCCAUUAAAGCGGUACGCGAGCUGGGUUCAGAACGUCGUGAGACAGUUCGGUCCCUAUCCGGCGCGGGCGUAAGAGAUUUGAGAGGAGCUGUCCUUAGUACGAGAGGACCGGGAUGGACGGACCACUGGUGUAUCUGUUGCACCACCAGGUGCACGGCAGAGUAGCCAAGUCUGGAAGGGAUAAACGCUGAAGGCAUCUAAGCGUGAAGCCCCCCUCAAGAUAAGAUCUCUCAUUCGAAAGAAGUAAGACCCCUUGAAGACGACGAGGUAGAUAGGGCAGGGGUGGAAGGGCAGUAAUGUCCGGAGCUGACUGUUACUAAUCGGUCGAGGGCUUGAUC